This 266-nucleotide ribosomal RNA is filed under the name uncultured Methanosaeta sp. RNAcentral's name for it is "partial 16S ribosomal RNA". It matches the Rfam family "Archaeal small subunit ribosomal RNA", at positions 1080 to 1339 of the family's 1478-position model. Lineage: Archaea; Methanobacteriati; Methanobacteriota; Methanomicrobia; Methanotrichales; Methanotrichaceae. The record is from RNAcentral.
UGGAGUGACGGGUACACUGUGGGGACCGCCGGCUGGCGUAAAGCGGAGGAAGGAAUGGGCAACGGUAGGUCCAGUAUGCCCCGAAUAUCCCGGGCUACACGCGAGCUACAAUGGUUGGUACAAUCGGGUAUCGUACCCCGAAAGGGGACGGGAAUCUCCUAAAACCAAUCUUAGUUCGGAUUGAGGGCUGCAACUCGCCCUCAUGAAGCUGGAAUCCGUAGUAAUCGCGUUUCAACAGAACGCGGUGAAUACGUCCCUGCUCCUUG